Non-coding RNA from Pelobates cultripes (western spadefoot toad), 201 nucleotides. Lineage: Eukaryota; Metazoa; Chordata; Amphibia; Anura; Pelobatidae. The record is from the annotation of a GenBank genome assembly.
GGACGCUGGAAACCUUCUGUCUACACCUUAUACAGGCUUUUCAUGACUUGUCCAAAUAAUUGUUGUUGUGUAGUAUAAAUAAAAUCUUGUAUGGUACACUUCCUUUUGCCCUCUUUAUUACAGGCCUACUGCCUUGUCGGUUCAGGCACACCACAACCAACUGGUGUCACUAUCUUUUGUUAUAUAUAAGUAUCGUGUUUU